UAUGUGAUCGUCUCUCGCAUAUCAAUAAGCGGAGGAAAAGAAACUAACAAGGAUUCCCCUAGUAACGGCGAGUGAAGCGGGAAGAGCUCAAAUUUGAAUCUUAAAGGGUUUCCCUUUACGAAUUGUAGUUUAAAGAAGUGUUUUCCGUUGAGGUCUUGGUAAAAGUUCUUUGGAAUAGGACAUCAUAGAGGGUGAGAAUCCCGUAUUUGACCUUUACUUUCAACUUUGUGAUACACUUUCAAAGAGUCGGAUUGUUUGGGAAUGCAGUCCAAAAUGAGUGGUAAAUUUCAUCUAAAGCUAAAUAUUGGCGAGAGACCGAUAGCGAACAAGUACCGUGAGGGAAAGAUGAAAGGAACUUUGAAAAGAGAGUUAAACAGUACGUGAAAUUGUCAAAAGGGAAGCGUUUGACACCAGUGUUGUUUUUCUGAAAAUCAAUUAAAGAACUGUUUAUGCUAAGCUGUUUAGACUUUAUCAGCUAUCUGCUUAGUUUUGAGCUUUUCUUUAAUGCACUUUUCAGUUAGCAAGUCAACAUCAAUUUCUUUUGCUGUAAAAAAGCUUGAGGAAGGUGGCUUGAGAUUCGUCUUAAGUGUUUAUAGCCUCUUGCCUAUGCAGUCGGAGAGAUUGAGGUCUGCAGCGUAGAUCCUUCGGGGCUAAAUGCAUUUGUGCUAAGUUAUAGCAUUUUAUAGACAACUUGUUGACUAUGAUUUGUCUUGUAGCUUACUCGCUUAUGUUAUUUUACCUACGCUUAGGAUGUUGAUCUACAGAGCGAGAGU
RNAcentral lists this ribosomal RNA (773 nucleotides) under uncultured Neocallimastigales. RNAcentral's name for it is "partial large subunit ribosomal RNA". It matches the Rfam family "Eukaryotic large subunit ribosomal RNA", at positions 24 to 631 of the family's 3401-position model. Lineage: Eukaryota; Fungi; Neocallimastigomycota; Neocallimastigomycetes; Neocallimastigales. The record is from RNAcentral.